Molecule: transfer RNA, 78 nt
Filed under: Mycoplasmopsis cynos
Lineage: Bacteria; Bacillati; Mycoplasmatota; Mycoplasmoidales; Metamycoplasmataceae
Description: tRNA-Glu
Rfam family: tRNA
About the family: Transfer RNA (tRNA) molecules are approximately 80 nucleotides in length. Their secondary structure includes four short double-helical elements and three loops (D, anti-codon, and T loops).
Source: RNAcentral
GGUCUGUUGGUGAAGCGGUUAACACACACGGUUUUCAUCCAUGUACAUUUACGGGUUCGAUCCCCGUACAGACUGCCA